ACAGAAUUGUUUUUCUUUCAUGGUAAAUAGGACAACUAACGAUCUUCCUUGCCAAGGAAUCAGCACAUAAAUAUUUCCCUCUCUACCAAUGAACUUAAACACUGGUUGUAACGUAUGAUUUGCCAUCUCUUCAUCAGCUUGAUGACAUUCCGAGAGUCUAGUUAGUCUCUUUUUGGCCAUGUUAGCCGCCACGCAGAGAAUUAGUAAGACAUCUCCAAAGAAAGUGAUGAAUAUUUGGCAUAGUCUUUACGUUCCAGAUUGGCUUUGUAGAGAGGAUCUAGACUAGACUGUAGCAUCUUAUUUUUGUUGAACAUCCAAGAAUCACCUUCAUUAAAAUUUAACGCUUACCAUUGAGCUCACUAAUUCAAUUUUGUUGGUAUAUCAAUCCAUGUUCUACAUGGAAAAUAUUAGAUGGUAUACUAUAAGUGAAGUCUAACUUCAAUUGGUAUGAGGUAUUCCUACGAUAUUUUGAUCAAAGAUAUUUAGAUUCGAUGAAUACAAAAAUCCGUAAGAAAUAUUUGAAGUGAUAAUAUUAUAACGUUUUUCUCUAGCAUAACUCCCUAUUUCCCCCUUUAUCUUAUUAUAUAAUCCACCACGACCCAAAUAACUACUUAAUACUUAUGGCAAUGGUUUUAAAUCAUCUUGUUCACUAACAAUUACUAAUUUUCCGUGAUUGGAGGAUUUGUGAUUUAGAUUUUGAAAACAGAAACUUGAUUAACGCCUAAAUGCUGAAUAUUUGUUUUCAGAAUUCAAAUAUGAAAUCGACAAAAAAAAAAAAAAAAAUUGAUUGAUUGGUAUGUUUGACCGUUUAUCACCGAAAGCUUCUCAAAAUGUUUUUCCUUCCAUAAGACUUUUGACCAUGGAUUACUUUCAAAUAAAAUGGUACCAAGUUCAACGCAUCCUAAAAAAAAAAUCAAAUAAUAGACAAAAAAAUCGAAAUGAAAAGAAUUUUACGGUAAAACUACAGAACAUUGACAAAAUGAUUGAUUUGACUAAAACCGACUCCAAACCAAAACUCUAAUUCAUAUCAAGCCGAUAACUAUAUAUAAAAACUUUGUUUCAUUUUCGUUUACUUUUCCUUUCCAGAUCAAAAACCCAAAAAAUAAACUAAAUAGCAGACAAUCAAAACCAAAAUCUACAUAACAACAUACACAAACCAUAUAUAAAUAUAUACGGAGGUAUAGCAUAUAUAUUACUUAUGCAAAUGAGUUACCAUUUGCUUUAAUGGUCAUGCUUGGCUCCUUGCACGCCACCGGCAGCCGAUUUUCAGCUAAAACCAGUAUCCACUCGUGGCAUACAGGGAGCCAGGCAUGACGGUGAAUCAAUAUAUAUGUAUGUAAUUGUAUACGAAACCUUUAAGGCGCAUGAACGUUGGAGGACAUUUUUAUACGUCGAUCUUGGCUUGAAUCGAAUCAGAAUAUUUAUUUAUUACUGCUGGGAAGAGAAAAUGAAAGUAGAGAGAGGUAUUGGAGAUUUUUGGUUCAAGA
This 1487-nucleotide long non-coding RNA is filed under the name Eutrema salsugineum. Its description in RNAcentral is "long non-coding RNA (ESAL_LNC001053)". The record is from RNAcentral. Lineage: Eukaryota; Viridiplantae; Streptophyta; Magnoliopsida; Brassicales; Brassicaceae.